CAAAUCUCUUAAAGCCGUUCUCAGUUCGGAUUGUAGGCUGCAACUCGCCUACAUGAAGUCGGAAUCGCUAGUAAUCGCGGAUCAGCAUGCCGCGGUGAAUACGUUCCGGGGCCUUGUACACACCGCCCGUCACACCAUGAGAGUUGGAAAUACCCGAAGCCUGUGAGCUAACUGUAAAGAGGCAGCAGUCGAAGGUAGAGCCAAUGAUUGGGGUGAAGUCGUAACAAGGUACC
RNAcentral lists this ribosomal RNA (233 nucleotides) under uncultured bacterium. RNAcentral describes it as "partial 16S ribosomal RNA". It matches the Rfam family "Bacterial small subunit ribosomal RNA", at positions 1268 to 1500 of the family's 1533-position model. The record is from RNAcentral.